Molecule: ribosomal RNA, 245 nt
Filed under: uncultured bacterium
Lineage: Bacteria
Description: partial 16S ribosomal RNA
Rfam family: Bacterial small subunit ribosomal RNA
Source: RNAcentral
UACGGAGGGUGCAAGCGUUGUUCGGAAUUAUUGGGCGUAAAGCGCGUGUAGGCGGAUUUGUAGGUCAGAUGUGAAAGCCCUCGGCUCAACUGAGGAAGUGCAUCUGAAACCACAAGUCUUGAGUACGAUAGAGGAGAGUGGAAUUCCCAGUGUAGAGGUGAAAUUCAUAGAUAUUGGGAAGAACACCGGUGGCGAAGGCGGCUCUCUGGAUCGAUACUGACGCUGAUACGCGAAAGCGUGGGGAG